GUAGGGUGCGAGCGUUGUCCGGAAUUAUUGGGCGUAAAGGGCUCGUAGGCGGUUUGUCGCGUCGGGAGUGAAAACACCGGGCUUAACUCGGUGCUUGCUUUCGAUACGGGCAGACUAGAGGCAUGCAGGGGAGAACGGAAUUCCUGGUGUAGCGGUGAAAUGCGCAGAUAUCAGGAGGAACACCGGUGGCGAAGGCGGUUCUCUGGGCAUGUCCUGACGCUGAGGAGCGAAAGUGUGGGGAGCGAACAGGAUUAGAUACCCUGGUAGUCCACACCGUAAACGUUGGGCGCUAGGUGUGGGAUCCAUUCCACGGGUUCCGUGCCGCAGCUAACGCAUUAAGCGCCCCGCCUGGGGAGUACGGCCGCAAGGCUA
Molecule: ribosomal RNA, 372 nt
Filed under: uncultured bacterium
Lineage: Bacteria
Description: bacterial SSU rRNA
Rfam family: Bacterial small subunit ribosomal RNA
Source: RNAcentral